UGUGUUUUUUUUUAAUUUCAUCUGAGAACCUCUGGCUUGCUUCUCUCCUUACGGUAGCGAUCGCCAUGGAAAAUAUCUCACUUCUCCCUUCUCCGUUCUCCGGUCGGCGGCAACGCAGUCGUGGUGUUUAAUAGGAGAGGAGUUUUGGUGGGAAUCGGAUGCUGUGUCUUUUGGUUAAGCGAAUUUGUGGAAUGUGUGGUUUGAAAACUUGAAAGGAUGAGCUAAGUCUUGGGAGAUCCUCAUUUUUGCAGAGGUUUGUGUUGUGGAAUGGGAAAUUGAGGCCGGCUCCGUCAAAGCCGAACGACUUAAUCGGUCUUUGAGUUGUUCAGCAUUAGAGAAUUCAGAUUGGGGUUGCUCUAUCUUGGCAUUUGAACACCAAUCUGAUACUGCGGGCGCCUGCCAAAUCCAAAUGGCGAAACAGUUGUGUGUUUUCAGAAACACCAAUCUGAUACUCUCACAAUGUUGGCGCUACAAGGUUGGGAAGCAAAGUUUAGGUGUCUUGGAAGCUCUCAAGUACUACUAAGCUGGACAGCGGAGGAUACAAUUUGACUUGUGAAAUUCCAGAGGGGAUGUUCUGUUCUCUGUACAGAGUCACAAGUGUUGAUUGAUGAGUGUAGGGGGUAGUUUUGAAGCGCUCUCAGAAUGUACUAUCCGCCAGUUGAAGAGUAUCUGUCUCAUUCCCGAAAGAGGCAAAUCCGAAACGAAUGCUUGAUAGAUGGUUAUCUAAAAGGGUUUGGCCAAUUUCACCUACGCACACAAGGAAGACUUCGAGGAAUAAUAGACAAUUCUUUGCUUUUUCGUAAUCGGGCACCACCUGGAAAAGUCUUGCUAUUGAACGGAGCUACCAACACGGGGAUCCUAUCAAAGGUAAUAAACUAAUAAUCAGAAGGUGAGUUAGUGGAAGCAGUGGCUAUGAUGCUGAUAAAGCCAAAUUCUACUGAUCUAGUUGUACUUGAAGCAAUAGUGUGGCCUCAAGCCAUUCCUCAGUUUCUGAUAGGUAACAUUUGAUUUGGUAGCCGCAGAGAAAGCGUCUCUUUCAUCAUUGGGUCAUGAUGGGAUGUUCUUGGGUGGCAAUUAUGUUGCUGGUGUAGCAUUGGUAUGGAGGUGCUUGCAAGUUGCAAGCCAAUUCAACAAUUUCAUGUCGAGGUACGCUUACAAGUAACAAGAAUAGAAUGAAAACCAAAUAGAGAUACUUAGAUUGCUGUUUUGAAUUUGACAACAGUUUAAGCUUGUAAAGGUUUCAUUGAUUUUCUCAUAAGUCUUACUACAAUUCGUGGCCAAAAGUUGGGGAGAAUAAUACAAAAAGCAUGAGAGAGAGAGAGAUGGGUUAAGGAAGUCUAGAACAAAUCGAUCAUAACUCUUGAAUCUUGAGGAUCUUCGUGAAGAGGUGAGAUCUUGACACUGUCGAAUCUUGUGGCUCUUGGAGAUUUCUGUUCAUGUGUGUAAUAGGUAGAGGACCUAGAGGUAGAAUAUGAUGACGUGAGAAGCAUGGAGGAAGAAGAAGGGAAUUCAGGGUUUGCAGGGUGAAGGAUUUGUGUGAGUAGAAGAACAAUUGACGCCAUUGAUGAUGAUGAUCAACUCUGAGGAAGCUGUGUCUCUCUCUUUGUUUUAGGGUUUUGAUGAGGAGUUUGUCUUGUCAUCUGAUUAUUCUAAAUACGUGUUUAUAUAUAUAGAGAGAGAAACAAAAGAAGUGGGCCUGGAUAUUGUGGACCGAUGUUGUGUGUGUUUUUAAAAUCUAACGAAGGAGAGAAUCCAGUGGGACUCUUAAAUC
This is a non-coding RNA of Camelina sativa (false flax), 1771 nucleotides long. The record is from RefSeq and is a predicted model, not a curated record. NCBI's taxonomy places the organism in Eukaryota, Viridiplantae, Streptophyta, Magnoliopsida, Brassicales, Brassicaceae.